GAAGUUCUUCAUAUUAUAUCUUGUUUCUCUUUCUCAUAAACAUGAUGAGGCUUGAAUCCAUCAUGGGUUUGAGCUUUCUCAUGGAGUUUAGAGAGUAGACACUCCUUGGAUUCAUGGGUUAGGGAGAUUAGAGUAACUUAGUGAAGAUCUAUGGUGUUAUUGUAUUAGAUCCUUGUAUGAACUUGCUUGUUGAGUAUUUUUAAUGCUUGUUUAGUCUUGAUCACUCUAAACCUGAUUUCUAAACACUUCUCAUCAGACAUGAUUAGAUGAAGUGUUUGAAUCAUCUCAACUAAGCUCUAGUGAGAUUAGCCAAG
Molecule: long non-coding RNA, 314 nt
Filed under: Brassica napus (rape)
Lineage: Eukaryota; Viridiplantae; Streptophyta; Magnoliopsida; Brassicales; Brassicaceae
Description: long non-coding RNA (BNAP_LNC011234)
Source: RNAcentral